This 210-nucleotide unclassified non-coding RNA is filed under the name Hevea brasiliensis (rubber tree). Lineage: Eukaryota; Viridiplantae; Streptophyta; Magnoliopsida; Malpighiales; Euphorbiaceae. The record is from RNAcentral.
GCCUCCUAAUUAAUCACUUUAAUGCUUUACUACUAAGAUUAUUUUACAUUCUAUUUUAUUAAUAAUACUAAGUGUCAAGCCACCAUGUUGAAUCAAGAUGGAUUUGGACUAUGAAAAUAAAAGAAUUGGUAUUAGAAUUAUUUCCAAUAUGAAUUUAAGUUUAAAUUUAAUCACUAAUAAAUAUCAAUAAUUAUAUGAAAUUGAUUUUAU